CUACUAACAUUUCAUUCAUCAUGGAUGGAAACCGCAGGUUCGCCAAGAAACACAAUCUUAAAGGCCUAGACGCAGGACAUAGAGCCGGUUUCAUAUCCGUGAAAUAUAUUCUUCAAUACUGCAAAGAGAUUGGUGUACCGUACGUGACACUCUACGCGUUUGGUAUGGAUAAUUUCAAGAGAGGACCUGAAGAAGUCAAGUGUGUCAUGGAUCUAAUGCUUGAGAAAGUCGAGCUUGCGAUCCAUCAAGCUGUCUCCGGGAAUCUAAAGGGGGUGAGAAUAAUCUUUGCCGGUGAUUUAAAUUCGUUAAACGAGCGUUUUAGAGCUGCGGCGCAGAAACUGAUGGAGCUAACGGAGGAGAAUAGAGAUCUGAUUGUGGUGGUUUGCGUUGCUUACAGCACAAAUCUCGAGAUUGUUCACGCUGUUCGAAAAUCUUGUGUUAAAAAGUGUAAAAAUGGAGAUGGUGCUGUAGUUUUGGAGGUGAGUGAUGUUGAAGGAUGUAUGUAUACAUCGGCUGUGCCAGAUCCGGAUCUUGUUAUCAGAACCGGAGGAGGAGAUCGGCUGAGUAACUUCAUGACGUGGCAAACUUCGAGGUCUCUUCUUCACAGAACGGAGGCUCUUUGGCCGGAGUUAGGACUCUGGCAUUUGGUUUGGGCCAUUCUGAAAUUCCAAAGAAUGCAAGAUUGCUUGCAGAAGAAGAAAAAGCUCGAUUAAAUAGUUUCUAAGUUAAACCCUAGAACGAACUUUUACCCUUUAUUAUGUUUGAUUAUGUGUUUCUCGCCGACAAUAAACUAUGAAUCGAAACGAAAAAGCACAAGAAAAUCAUUUUUAUUAUGUAUUGGAUCUAAAUGACAAACACGAAGGCACAAAAACAUCGAUAAUCGUUGGUUUUAACGAUGCUAAAACACUACAAUUAGAGGGUUAAUCUAAACACAAUUUGGUAAACAAAAAGCAAACAAAUCUUUAAAGAUUUAGUACUUGGCCAUCUAAGAACCUAAAGGCAAUCUCAGUCACCUGCCAAAUAACUUUUAAAAAAUUGUUCUUCGAGAGAAUCUUCUAGCUAGAUUCAUCUAGAGGUUUACUUCUGUCUUGUUGAGGAGAACAGCUGAUUCUUCCAUUUGCCAGAUUUCUUGGCUGGUUUGGGAUUUGAGUCCAAAUUUCUUGCAGUGGGUUUUCAGCUUGAAGGUGCAGAAAGAGAAUUGAUGUUACAGAUUUUAGGUUCAAAACAGUUCAAAUAGUCUUUCUGCUAUCACGGUGAGCAAUAUCAUAGGCGUUUCAACUGAUACCACUCUGAAAUUUGUGAGUAAACUCGUGGAUUGGAGCUCACAAGACGGUAAAAUCUUGUUACGCUUUAUUGCAAACACGACAACCAUUUUUGUGUGUCAUUGCAUUCGAACUUAGAAUAGUAGAAGAGUCUUUACGUGUUUAAUAAUCUGUCCCAUAACAUAUUUCUGUAAUCUUUUUUUAAAACUAAAUUUAAAAGUAAUAAUUUAAAAGUGGUUAUAGAUAAUUAGAUACAGAAGUAUUUUUUUUUAAUUUAAAUAUAAUCCUUAAUUAAAAAGAAAUAACAUAUUUGAUUAAACCAAGAAGAAAGCCAUCAAUCACUAAAUCACCCAUUUUCUCCCUCCCCCUAAAAAUCAGCCGUAUCAUCAUAUGAUCAUUCCAUUUGCAUUCCCUCAAAAAAACAAAAAAAAAAAACUCCAUUCUUAAUUUUUGUUUAUAUUCCGUCCACUCUCAACAAAACCGAAAACACCAAAGUUCUUGAAUUCUCUCCGAUAACCAUAAUAAAAUCCCGUUUUUCUGAUAUGAAUACCCGAGAAGAAGUAGGCGAAUUCACUCAAAUCUUCAACGCUUUAAUGAGUCUAAUGAGGACAUUUAUAUUCAAAGUUCUACGCGUCGGUCCAAUCCCUACUAACAUUUCAUUCAUCAUGGAUGGAAACCGCAGGUUCGCCAAGAAACGCAAUCUUGAAGGCUUAGACGCAGGACACAGAGCCGGUUUCAUAUCCGUGAAAUAUAUUCUUCAAUACUGCAAAGAGAUUGGUGUACCGUACGUCACACUCUACGCCUUUGGUAUGGACAAUUUCAAGAGAGGACCUGAAGAAGUCAAGUGUGUCAUGGAUCUAAUGCUGGAGAAAGUCGAGCUCACGAUUGAUCAAGCUGUAUCCGGGAAUAUGAACGGCGUGAGAAUUAUCUUUGCCGGUGAUUUAAAUUCGUUAAACGAGCGUUUUAGAGCUGCGACGCAGAAACUGAUGAAGCUUACGGAGGAGAAUAGAGAUCUGAUUGUUGUGGUUUGCGUUGCUUACAGCACAAGUGUCGAGAUUGUUCAUGCUGUUCGAGAUUCUUGCGUUAGAAAGAGUAAAAUUGGAGAUGGUUCUGUAGCUUUGGAGUUGAGUGAUAUUGAAGAGUGUAUGUAUACAUCCGUCGUGCCGGUUCCGGAUCUUGUGAUAAGAACCGGAGGAGGAGAUCGGCUGAGUAACUUCAUGACGUGGCAAACUUCUAAGUCACUUCUUCACAGAACGGAGGCUCUUUGGCCGGAGUUAGGGCUCUGGCAUUUGGUUUGGGCCAUUCUGAAAUUCCAGAGAAUGCAAGAUUACUUGCAGAAGAAGAAGAAGUUCCACUAAAUAGUUUCUAAGUUAAACCCUAGAAAGAAAAAUGUUAAACCCUAGAAUGAACUUUAACCCUUACGUUUGAUUACAGGUUUCUUGUGGUGUAAGAAACAAAGAACCGAAACUGUGAAAACACAAGAAAAUCCUUUUUAUUAUGUAUGUGAUAUAAAUAACAAGCACAAAGACAUGAAACAUCGAUA
RNAcentral lists this long non-coding RNA (2805 nucleotides) under Arabidopsis lyrata. RNAcentral's name for it is "long non-coding RNA (ALYR_LNC000678)". The record is from RNAcentral. Lineage: Eukaryota; Viridiplantae; Streptophyta; Magnoliopsida; Brassicales; Brassicaceae.